GUGGCUGUAGCUCAGUUGGUUAGAGCGUCUGUCUGUGGAACAGAAGGUCGUGGGUUCGAGUCCCAUCAGCCACCCCA
Molecule: transfer RNA, 77 nt
Filed under: Thermobaculum terrenum ATCC BAA-798
Lineage: Bacteria; Bacillati; Chloroflexota; Chloroflexia; Thermobaculales (SeqCode); Thermobaculaceae (SeqCode)
Also listed under: 1 other name
Description: tRNA-His (GTG) (tRNA-His-GTG-1-1)
Rfam family: tRNA
About the family: Transfer RNA (tRNA) molecules are approximately 80 nucleotides in length. Their secondary structure includes four short double-helical elements and three loops (D, anti-codon, and T loops).
Source: RNAcentral